UCUCUCUCUCUCUCUCUCUCUCUCUCUCUCUUCCUAAGAUUUCCAAACUUAGCAUAAUCAACAUUGCAAUGAUAGUCGGUUUGGGUUUAAGGUUUUCUUUAUACCUAAGUCGAUGGCCAAAAGUGACUAGAGGUGGCCGGAUUUUAAGGUUUCCAGACCAGAAAACCCUUGAUUUCUCCGAUGUCGGUUUUGGUUUUCCGGCGAUGUAUGGGGCCGGAUCUUUGGCGGAAAAGAUAGAAGAGAGGUUGGGGAAACUUUUUCAUGAAGGGACUCCGACCAAAGGUGGCAGGAUAUGGUCGUACAGAACUGAGAAAGUUCGGCACCAACAAGAGGAGGAUGUGAGGAGUAAUUUUCGUGAAGGUUACGGCGGCAACGGAGGUUGGACGAUGCCGAAAAAUGGGUUGGAAGUGGCGGCGCCAUUGUUCACACAUGAGAGAGAGAGAGAGAGCUAACUGAGGUUUUAAAAUUUCACUUUGCAAAAAUUACGGUUGUGCCAUUAUACUUCCGUAAACUAUAACUUCUUCGAUUUGAGUUGGAAUUGAGUCUGCCGCCUAUCUACAAA
This is a non-coding RNA of Prunus avium (sweet cherry), 562 nucleotides long. The record is from RefSeq and is a predicted model, not a curated record. Lineage: Eukaryota; Viridiplantae; Streptophyta; Magnoliopsida; Rosales; Rosaceae.